Chelonia mydas (Green sea turtle) is the source of this 472-nucleotide long non-coding RNA. RefSeq lists it as uncharacterized. Lineage: Eukaryota; Metazoa; Chordata; Testudines; Cheloniidae. The record is from RefSeq and is a predicted model, not a curated record. The transcript has 3 exons.
GGCCUAGCAACAGCCAGGAGCUUGUAAACAGCAGAGAGGAAGCAGCAGAUCUGGUCACCGCCUUCCCCAGCCCAUUCAGCACCUUGCAAAGAGCAAGACUCUUCCAUUGAGCAUUUCGCUCCGUGCCCCACGCUUCCCAACUCCUGCAGCUCUGGCGCCCUGAAGGCAGGCCGUGGGGAGCUGCAGAGGCUGCAGGAUGCCAGCACUGCCGUCCUGGAAAGGCUUAUGGGGCUGGAGGCUGAGGUCAAGUAUGUCAGCACUGAGCUGCGUGCAGAGAAAUUACUGUGGAGCAGCAGGUACCUGGAGCUGCUGAGGGAGCAGCAGGAGCUCCGUGAACAGUUCCAGGAGUGGGGACGGAGCCGGGGGCCCGAGGCCAAGGACACCCUGGAGAUGCAGAGCAAAGCUGAGGCUCCCAGUGCGGAUGGAUCGGAUGGGUGGUGCAUGGGAGACAGCGGCUGGGGCCUCCAGACGC